AGUGAACGCUGGCGGUAGGCCUAACACAUGCCAGUCGAACGGCAGCACAGUAAGAGCUUGCUCUUACGGGUGGCGAGUGGCGGACGGGUGAGGAAUACAUCGGAAUCUACUUUUUCGUGGGGGAUAACGUAGGGAAACUUACGCUAAUACCGCAUACGACCUACGGGUGAAAGCAGGGGAUCUUCGGACCCUGCGCGAUUGAAUGAGCCGAUGUCGGAUUAGCUAGUUGGCGGGGUAAAGGCCCACCAAGGCGACGAUCCGUAGCUGGUCUGAGAGGAUGAUCAGCCACACUGGAACUGAGACACGGUCCAGACUCCUACGGGAGGCAGCAGUGGGGAAUAUUGGACAAUGGGCGCAAGCCUGAUCCAGCCAUACCGCGUGGGUGAAGAAGGCCUUCGGGUUGUAAAGCCCUUUUGUUGGGAAAGAAAAGCAGCAGGUUAAUACCCCGCUGUUCUGACGGUACCCAAAGAAUAAGCACCGGCUAACUUCGUG
RNAcentral lists this ribosomal RNA (492 nucleotides) under uncultured bacterium. RNAcentral's name for it is "partial 16S ribosomal RNA". It matches the Rfam family "Bacterial small subunit ribosomal RNA", at positions 29 to 507 of the family's 1533-position model. The record is from RNAcentral.